GCAUCGGUAGCUCAGCGGUAGAGCAGGAGACUCUUAAUCUCUUGGUCGCGGGUUCGAUCCCCGCCCGGUGCACCA
This 75-nucleotide transfer RNA is filed under the name Candidatus Uhrbacteria bacterium RIFCSPHIGHO2_01_FULL_47_10. RNAcentral describes it as "tRNA-Lys". It matches the Rfam family "tRNA". From Rfam's summary of the family: Transfer RNA (tRNA) molecules are approximately 80 nucleotides in length. RNAcentral also lists the same sequence under 5 other names. Lineage: Bacteria; Candidatus Uhriibacteriota. The record is from RNAcentral.